RNAcentral lists this ribosomal RNA (253 nucleotides) under uncultured bacterium. RNAcentral's name for it is "partial 16S ribosomal RNA". It matches the Rfam family "Bacterial small subunit ribosomal RNA", at positions 524 to 776 of the family's 1533-position model. The record is from RNAcentral.
UACGGGGGGGGCAAGCGUUGUUCGGAAUUACUGGGCGUAAAGGGCUCGUAGGUGGCCAAUUAAGUCAGACGUGAAAUCCCUCGGCUUAACCGGGGAACUGCGUCUGAUACUGGAUGGCUUGAGUUUGGGAGAGGGAUGCGGAAUUCCAGGUGUAGCGGUGAAAUGCGUAGAUAUCUGGAGGAACACCGGUGGCGAAGGCGGCAUCCUGGACCAACACUGACACUGAGGAGCGAAAGCCAGGGGAGCAAACGGG